RNAcentral lists this ribosomal RNA (171 nucleotides) under uncultured beta proteobacterium. RNAcentral describes it as "partial 16S ribosomal RNA". It matches the Rfam family "Bacterial small subunit ribosomal RNA", at positions 355 to 525 of the family's 1533-position model. Lineage: Bacteria; Pseudomonadati; Pseudomonadota; Betaproteobacteria. The record is from RNAcentral.
CGCGGCUUCCUGGUACGCACCCUGAUCAGCCAUGCCGCGUGAGUGAAGAAGGCCUUCGGGUUGUAAAGCUCUUUCAGUCGGAACGAAACGGUUCGCUCUAACAUAGCGUGCUAAUGACGGUACUGACAGAAGAAGCACCGGCUAACUACGUGCCAGCAGCCGCGGUAAUUA